AGAGUUUGAUCAUGGCUCAGUGACGAACGCUGACGGUGUGCUUUAUGCAUGCAAGUCGAACGAGAAAGCCCUUCGGGGUUAGUAAAGUGGCGAACGGGUGAGUAACACGUGGGCAACCUGCCCCUCGCAGGGUGGACAACCGGAGGAAACUCCGGCUAAUACCCCGUACGCUUGUUGGAUCGCAUGGUCCGGCAAGGAAAGGUAGCUUCGGCCAUCCGGCGAGGGAUGGGCCCGCGUUGCAUUAGCUAGUUGGUGGGGUAACGGCUCACCAAGGCAACGAUGCGUAGCUGGUCUGAGAGGAUGAUCAGCCACACUGGGACUGAGACACGGCCCAGACUCCUACGGGAGGCAGCAGCCAGGAAUCUUGGGCAAUGGGCGAAAGCCUGACCCAGCAACACCGUGUGGGUGACGAAGGCCUUAGGGUCGUAAAGCCCUGUUGAUAGGGACGAAGGGCAAAGGGUUAAUAGCCCCCAGCUUGACGGUACCUUUCGAGGAAGCCCCGGCUAACUACGUGCCAGCAGCCGCGGUAAUACGUAGGGGGCUGAGCGUUGUCCGGAAUUAUUGGGCGUAAAGAGCGUGUAGGCGGUUCGGUAAGUCUGCUGUGAAAUCCUAGGGCUCAACCCUGGGCGUGCAGCGGAUACU
This 642-nucleotide ribosomal RNA is filed under the name uncultured bacterium. RNAcentral's name for it is "bacterial SSU rRNA". It matches the Rfam family "Bacterial small subunit ribosomal RNA", at positions 8 to 634 of the family's 1533-position model. The record is from RNAcentral.